Long non-coding RNA from Zophobas morio, 335 nucleotides. RefSeq lists it as uncharacterized. NCBI's taxonomy places the organism in Eukaryota, Metazoa, Arthropoda, Insecta, Coleoptera, Tenebrionidae. The transcript has 3 exons. The record is from RefSeq and is a predicted model, not a curated record.
GGUUUACGAAAAAGUUAUAUCGAAGUAUGAACGUAUAACGUCGGUAAAUAUAUAUUGCAAGCCUACUAAAGCAUACGGACUUGAACAUUCCUUUUUUCGAAAACUUCGCGAUUCUGAUGUGGAUUUGGAUUGGCACAUCCAAACCAUUACUGGUAGAGCACAUUUCUUCUUUAAAAAACGUAGUUAAAUGGUUAGAAAAAAAUAUACAGGAAAAGAUGGACCGGUCAAGACCUUUGUGGAGGUUAUAUAAGGUUAUAAGAUUCCUCCUCUUAAAGACGAUGGACGCUGUUUGAUUAUGGCCCACUUUUGUCACAGUUUAAGCAAUUAUAUUUAUA